This 107-nucleotide non-coding RNA is filed under the name unclassified sequences. RNAcentral's name for it is "eL15-Euryarchaeota ribosomal protein leader". It matches the Rfam family "eL15-Euryarchaeota ribosomal protein leader". The record is from RNAcentral.
CCUGCACGGCUAGACCGCAGGUCGGGAUGUGAUCCGCGAGCGUGCAUGCGAUACGAGGCGCUCGAGAGAGGUGACAGCGGUUGUCGCCGAGGCGAUUGAACCAGGAA